This 213-nucleotide long non-coding RNA is filed under the name Phoenix dactylifera (date palm). RNAcentral's name for it is "long non-coding RNA (PDAC_LNC016709)". The record is from RNAcentral. Lineage: Eukaryota; Viridiplantae; Streptophyta; Magnoliopsida; Arecales; Arecaceae.
CUUCAUGGUUAACCUAAUCCUCCUCUAAGGAGGAUUAGGAAGGUCACUCUUGGUUAGGUCCUAAUCUAAUUAGGUUUGGACCAAGGGUGAACCAAUUUGGGUUUUAAUCUAGGUAAGUCCUAAUCCAAUUAGAACUUGAUGAGCCAUGACUCAAUUGAACCCUUCAAUCCUAAUCUAAUUAGGAGUCAUCUUGAUUCAUUAGAUUAAUAAUUA